The sequence is a transfer RNA, 104 nucleotides long. It matches the Rfam family "tRNA". From Rfam's summary of the family: Transfer RNA (tRNA) molecules are approximately 80 nucleotides in length. Their secondary structure includes four short double-helical elements and three loops (D, anti-codon, and T loops).
GGGGCGGUAGCUCAGUGGAUAGAGUGGAAGAUUGCAAUUAACCUGAUUGGUUGCUACAAUUGCAGACUAUCUUUAGGUCGCCGGUUCAAUCCCGGCCCGUCCCU